This 520-nucleotide ribosomal RNA is filed under the name uncultured Glomus. Its description in RNAcentral is "SSU rRNA". It matches the Rfam family "Eukaryotic small subunit ribosomal RNA", at positions 569 to 1092 of the family's 1831-position model. Lineage: Eukaryota; Fungi; Glomeromycota; Glomeromycetes; Glomerales; Glomeraceae. The record is from RNAcentral.
AGCAGCCGCGGUAAUUCCAGCUCCAAUAGCGUAUAUUAAAGUUGUUGCAGUUAAAAAGCUCGUAGUUGAAUUUCGGGGUCAGUAGGUCGGUCGUGCCACUGGUAUGAACUGGUUUUACUGAUUCCUCCCUCUUGAAGAACUGUAAUGCCAUUAAUUUGGUGUUGCAGGGAAUCAGGACUGUUACUUUGAAAAAUUAGAGUGUUUAAAGCAGGCUUUAGCUUGAAUACAUUAGCAUGGAAUAAUGAAAUAGGACGUUUGAUCCUAUUUUGUUGGUUUCUAGGAUUGACGUAAUGAUUAAUAGGGAUAGUUGGGGGCAUUAGUAUUCAAUUGUCAGAGGUGAAAUUCUUGGAUUUAUUGAAGACUAACUACUGCGAAAGCAUUUGCCAAGGAUGUUUUCAUUAAUCAAGAACGAAAGUUAGGGGAUCGAAGACGAUCAGAUACCGUCGUAGUCUUAACCAUAAACUAUAGCCGACUAGGGAUCGGAUGAUGUAAUUUUUAAUGACUCAUUCGGCGCCUUACG